Molecule: ribosomal RNA, 222 nt
Filed under: uncultured Glomeromycotina
Lineage: Eukaryota; Fungi; Glomeromycota
Description: partial 18S ribosomal RNA
Rfam family: Eukaryotic small subunit ribosomal RNA (bases 42-222)
Source: RNAcentral
GGAUCAAUACGUCGGUCGUGCUUCGGUACGUACUGGCGUCGUUGAUUUCUCCCUUCUGACGAACCAUGAUGUCAUUAACUUGGUGUCAUGGGAAAUCAGGACUGUUACUUUGAAAAAAUUAGAGUGUUUAAAGCAGGCUCACGCUUGAAUACAUUAGCAUGGAAUAAUGAAAUAGGGCGUUCGAUCCUAUUUUUGUUGGUUUCUAGGAUCGCCGUAAUGAUU